AAAUGUAUGUAUUUCCUCUCUCUAAAAAUGUAUGUGCUUUCUCUGUCUGUGAGAAAGAAAGGAGAUAGAAUUUAGUGAGGUAUAUUUUCAGUGGGGAGUUUAGAGAUGACAAUGGAGGGAGGGAGUGGGUGAGUGAGAGUGUGUGGUAAUAUAUAUGAAAAUGGACAAAUAAUGCACCUGAAGAUGGGGAUUAAUUACGGUGGCAGUUGAUAUGACCAUGCAG
RNAcentral lists this long non-coding RNA (223 nucleotides) under Panax ginseng (ginseng). RNAcentral's name for it is "long non-coding RNA (PGIN_LNC013559)". Lineage: Eukaryota; Viridiplantae; Streptophyta; Magnoliopsida; Apiales; Araliaceae. The record is from RNAcentral.